UCAGGAUGAACGCUGGCGGCGUGCUUAACACAUGCAAGUCGAACGAAGCACUUUAUUUGAUUUCCUUCGGGACUGAUUAUUUUGUGACUGAGUGGCGGACGGGUGAGUAACGCGUGGGUAACCUGCCUUGUACAGGGGGAUAACAGUUGGAAACGGCUGCUAAUACCGCAUAAGCGCACAGUAUCGCAUGAUGCAGUGUGAAAAACUCCGGUGGUAUAAGAUGGACCCGCGUUGGAUUAGCUAGUUGGUGAGGUAACGGCCCACCAAGGCGACGAUCCAUAGCCGACCUGAGAGGGUGACCGGCCACAUUGGGACUGAGACACGGCCCAAACUCCUACGGGAGGCAGCAGUGGGGAAUAUUGCACAAUGGGCGAAAAGCCUGAUGCAGCGACGCCGCGUGAGCGAAGAAGUAUUUCGGUAUGUAAAGCUCUAUCAGCAGGGAAGAUAAUGACGGUACCUGACUAAGAAGCACCGGCUAAAUACGUGCCAGCAGCCGCGGUAAUACGUAUGGUGCAAGCGUUAUCCGGAUUUACUGGGUGUAAAGGGAGCGCAGGCGGUGCGGCAAGUCUGAUGUAAAAGCCCGGGGCUCAACCCCGGUACUGCAUUGGAAACUGUCGUACUAGAGUGUCGGAGGGGUAAGCGGAAUUCCUAGUGUAGCGGUGAAAUGCGUAGAUAUUAGGAGGAACACCAGUGGCGAAGGCGGCUUACUGGACGAUAACUGACGCUGAGGCUCGAAAGCGUGGGGAGCAAACAGGAUUAGAUACCCUGGUAGUCCACGCCGUAAACGAUGAAUAAUGGGUGUGGGAAGCAUGCUUCUCGGUGCCGUCGCAAACGCAGAAAGUAUUCCCCCUGGGGAGUACGUUCGCAAGAAAGAAACUCAAAGGAAUAGACGGGGGCCCGCACAAGCGGGGGAGCAUGUGGUUUAAUUCGAAGCAACGCGAAGAACCUUACCAAGUCUUGACAUCCUUCUGACCGGUACUUAACCGUACCUUCUCUUCGGAGCAGGAGUGACAGGUGGUGCAUGGUUGUCGUCAGCUCGUGUCGUGAGAUGUUGGGUUAAGUCCCGCAACGAGCGCAACCCUUAUCUUUAGUAGCCAGCGGUUCGGCCGGGCACUCUAGAGAGACUGCCAGGGAUAACCUGGAGGAAGGCGGGGAGGACGUCAAAUCAUCAUGCCCCCUAUGACUUGGGCUACACACGUGCUACAAUGGCGUAAACAAAGGGAAGCGAAGCUGUGAAGCCGAGCAAAUCUCAAAAAUAACGUCUCAGUUCGGACUGUAGUCUGCAACCCGCCUACACGAAGCUGGAAUCGCUAGUAAUCGCAGAUCAGAAUGCUGCGG
RNAcentral lists this ribosomal RNA (1338 nucleotides) under uncultured bacterium. Its description in RNAcentral is "bacterial SSU rRNA". It matches the Rfam family "Bacterial small subunit ribosomal RNA", at positions 24 to 1362 of the family's 1533-position model. The record is from RNAcentral.